UGACCACCACAAAAGCAAUCGAAUUAUAUGCCAGUCUGAAUUCUCAAUCCAGCGUCGAAGCAUAGGGAAACUGAACAUGAUAGCCGCCAGCACAUUUGGGAGCAAAUAAAGAGCGAAAUUACCAAAGUAUGCAAGACAUGUUUGAAAGAUUCGUAGCAUUCAAUAACAGCACAUUUCAUGUAUUCGUCUGCACAUAUGCGCUUCCAGAGGUCAGAGUCUUUUGUUCGAAACUGAGCUGCCAUAUCCAAUGCUAUGGGUAUCUGUUCCAAGAAGAUAACUUUAACAAGAGUCGAAAAAAAGAACAGAGGUAUCUGGAAUAACAAACGAAGACCACAAACCUUGCUUGCAAGCAAAAAUGGUGGCCAUUGAAUUAGUUUCAAACUAGGAUCUGAAGUAUAAGGAACAAGCAACAGAUCCAUCUCCCUGAACAAACAGUUGGUUUAAGGACAUGGAAAAUAUGGGGAUUCAUAAAAGGCGGUUUAGUAUCUAAGUUAUUACCUGUCACUGAUGAGAUCUUCCUCUCGGAAGCUGCUAAUUAUUUCAUUCCAGAGUUGGGAAAAUUUUGCCGCUUCAGUUCUUCUUGCUGCUGUGACCUGCAUAUAGAUAGAAUUUGGUACCUUUAUAGAAUACUAGUACCAUUCUUCAAGAAAUCACUUUAUAGAAGAAUCAAUCUUGUUUAACCUCUGCAAAUCUUUUCGAUAGGGAAAACCCUCUUCUCCUUGUUUUAUCAGAAGGAACAAGAUACGUGUUAAAUGCACCAGGCAAUGAUUGGAACCUGGACCUUAGCAUUCCAAGCGUUCGUAUCUGGACGUAGAAUAGAAAUGAUUUUGUUAGGAAAAGAUAUUAUCACGUAGGACAACCUUGAUUUCAUCUUAGUAACACAAUAAGGGUUAAAUAAGUGAGUAGAAUGGAUCCAGCAAGAAAGUAUUACCUCUCCCAAUCUAUCAAAGGCCCCAAUGACACCACCACAUAUAGUGGAGAAGAUAGCAUACCAAAUUUGAGUGUCCAUAAAAUAAACCUGAAGCAAAAUUAAGGAACGUGAGAUAUCCAUGGAAUUGCUAAAGAAUUCAUUUCGAUAAGUGGUUAAGAAAAAUAUACCAAAAUCACAGGUAACCACAGGGACACCACUGCUCCAUAGUUGUGCUCAGCUGCAUAUGUGCAUAAGCAUUCUGGCAUGAAGCGAAUAUUUGCAGCUUCACCCCAAAUGAGUAGAUACAAACCCAUAUACAGUAUCUUCCGCUGUUGUAUAUCUUCAGCACCUUGAGGAAGCCUUCGCAUAAAAAUAGAUGAGUGAAUUUUGAUUAAGAGUAUAAACAUCAUUCAAAAAAGUGUCACAUCCAAGCCAUUUGUGAAAAAAAUAGUGCCUGGUACCUUAAACUAUGUUUACGUCCUAAAAACUUGCACCAGUUCUUGUAGUUCUUAAAGAGCUUUGUCUUGACGGCAUCAACGGCUCUAUCGUCCAGCUGCAUUUAUACAUUGAAUUAAUAAAAAUUUCAUUGCUAAAAAGUGUUUGACAUAUGAGUAUGUAUCUUUUAUUGAUGGAUUUUUGAGAUAAUGCUGUGGUUUUUUACUCAUCACUAGUGUCAGCGGGUCUCAGAGCACAUGUGCAACUGCUCUAUAGGUGAAGAGAGGAAACUACCGAGGUACCUUAUUCAGAGGCUCUGGCCUGGGAGUCAACCUUAUAUGAUUAUCAGCAAGUAAACAAACCAGAUGCUCCCUCUGGUUCCUGACAUUGUCUCUCUGUUAAGAUCAAUGAAAUAAUAAGAAAUAUAUCUAUCUCACAGGUUCAACAUGAAUUCAUUAGAUCAUCUUGUUACUCUUCUUAGAUCAGCAACUUGCCUGGAAUCCAAACAUAGCUCUUAACCAGUCAAGAAGAUCCAGAUUUCCGGAUUUCUUUUUGUGCUGCUCAAAUCCAGAUGGCCAGUUCAAUCCACGAGUGUUCCCCAAGGCAGCUACAGCGACAGCCAAGAUAUAGAGCGGGGGAACCCCUUUAACUCGUGGAAGGAAGGAUAGCCAUUGCUUCAGCAUCCCAGGAGCAAAAGAAACGGACUGGGCAUAGCAAAGCGGCAAUACCACACACCAAGCGAGACUUACAACGAUCUUGAGAAUAUUUCUCAAAAUUUCAGUAAAUUUCCACCUGUGGAAACCCGGGAAGUUUAAGAUAACGUCCAAGAGA
This 2176-nucleotide long non-coding RNA is filed under the name Brassica napus (rape). Its description in RNAcentral is "long non-coding RNA (BNAP_LNC007353)". The record is from RNAcentral. Lineage: Eukaryota; Viridiplantae; Streptophyta; Magnoliopsida; Brassicales; Brassicaceae.